GAGAUUUUAGUCCAAUUAUGUUAUUUUUCUUCAUUUUUAACUGUUUAAAAUCGAUUUCUGUUUUAAAAAAAUGUUGAGAAAAUUUGUCAAACCUUGUUUGACCAUGUUAGACUUAUGAUGGUCCAAUUGGACUUAUCCAAGUUGAUUUGAAUUGGAUUUGAAGUUUGACCUUUAUUUGUUCAUUUUAUUUUAUGCAUUAUUUUAAUUCCAAAAAAUACCAACAAUAUGUUUGACCUUUC
RNAcentral lists this long non-coding RNA (239 nucleotides) under Lathyrus oleraceus (garden pea). RNAcentral's name for it is "Pisum sativum (pea) long non-coding RNA (PSAT_LNC033821)". The record is from RNAcentral. Lineage: Eukaryota; Viridiplantae; Streptophyta; Magnoliopsida; Fabales; Fabaceae.